AAAAAUUUGCUUUAUUUUCCAUGCAGAUGAACAGAGUGGCGCCUACGGCAGUGUAGUGUCAGGCAUGACACAGGUGCCAGGCAUGACACACGUGCCAGGCAUGACACACGUGCCAGGCAUGACACAUGUGCCAGGCAUGACACACGUGCCAGGCAUGACACACGUACCAGGCAUGA
Procambarus clarkii (red swamp crayfish) is the source of this 176-nucleotide non-coding RNA. Lineage: Eukaryota; Metazoa; Arthropoda; Malacostraca; Decapoda; Cambaridae. The record is from RefSeq and is a predicted model, not a curated record.